CUGGAAAGAAUUUUUCUUAAUUGAGGAAGCCAAGGCCCCAGAAAAAAUGAACACAUGCACUGUCUUGGGUUUGUAUAAUGUUUUACUGUUAUGAAAGGGCUUCUGGUUCACUGUUGUUAUUCGACCCCUCCCCAGCUCCCCGUGUUGGACACAGGAUAUCCUGUGUAUCCUGUGUAUCCAGGGUAUCCAGAGGUUGAUGAUCCCAAUAGCCAGUACGGUCAUUGUCCCAGGGGCAUGGAUGUGACAAGCCUUACUUCUCACUGGCACCACAUCCUUGUGGCAGGAUUUCGGGUGUGGCGAGGAGAAGGUGGAGAUGUAAUUCCUCAGAUUGCGAGACUUGGGAUCCUGGCUGUUUUGCAUACGUUGACUGCGGGCUCUGGCUCAGAUGGGGAAAUUGAGGCCCACAGAGAUCUGAGAUCUGCAAGGAGGCUGAGGAGUGGAACACCUUGAUUACUAAGCUAAGGGAUCUCACUCUGCAGUGCAGGCCAGUAAUGUUUCAACAUUUCCUCUUUGAAUGCUUAUUCAUUAACCCACUUCCUACAAGCCAUGUGACCAGAUGUCCCAAGAGAAGUUCCUUUGGGAUGAAGCUAACUCUUGUCCUUUGUAUACAAUUGUGUAAUAGUGCUAUUGAGGUGGUGGCAAGAAGCAUGUGGAGCAAUCACCUAGAGGCGGGCCAAGGAUCCAGAAGCUUCAGCUUCUCAUCCCGCAGUCAGUGUGUUUGCUGGCCCAGACUGAAUCCUGAGCUCUCCCACAGUUAGACAAGAAGCAUUCAUCCUCAGGACAAGUGGCUCUGCCCCUCCUCCCACCACAGACCCGAAGCAAUAAAUGGCCAGAGGAUACUGGAGUGCAAAAGUGACCUUGCGUGACCCAGAUAUUCACUCACUAUUUUUUCCUCCUAAUUCCUGAGCACUUCCCACCACUGGU
Molecule: long non-coding RNA, 924 nt
Filed under: Mustela putorius furo (domestic ferret)
Lineage: Eukaryota; Metazoa; Chordata; Mammalia; Carnivora; Mustelidae
Description: lncRNA (ENSMPUG00000027099.1)
Source: RNAcentral